CUUGCAGCUCAAUUCUGCCAUAGAGUUUUAUUAGACAUUAUUCUAAAGAUCUUCCUACUCUAUCUCAACAUAAGGCAAACCAUUAUGAAACAGAAAAGGAGGAGAAGGAAGAGAGAAAAUGAGCUGUCUGUCUCGGCAAUUUGCCUCCCCUGACAAAGAUAGAAGUGCCUGGCUACUUCUCAGCAAAUGAAAAAAAGUCUAAAGGAAUGAGGUCACAAGAAUAGCUGGAUCAAAUGACCAUGAGACAAUUCUGUCCAAAUUUCGAUGUGGUAUUUAUAUAGUAUAUACGGUUGAGAAAUCUGAUUUGAAGGUGUGGAGAGCUCUGCACCACUUAUGCCUGAAAGUCUCUUAGGAAACUGCAUGCAAAAUUCAGAAGAGGACCAUAAAAAUUUCAAAGCCAGUCUUCAAGAGUUCUGACUGAUAUUACUACCAAGAAAUGGAAGGAUACAUGCUGUUGAUCAAGAAACAAGAUUAAAUUUUUAGCUAAAAUUAAGAGACUGUCAAAGCUCUACUAUAAAAAAAGAGUAAGACUAUAACAGCCUUGAACAGGACUAAAUCAGCUGAGUCAACUCAAGUGGGACUUAACAAAGAAAGACAGAUGGCCACUUAUUCUUAUUGACACAUGAAGUGUUUCUAAAACGUAUCUGAAUUUUCAUUUUCUUCAGAUAGGAUUAAGUUGCAAUUUUUUAAUGCUGUUGGAAGAAACAGAAAGUUCUGUCUAACAUAAGAAUGCCUUUCAAGGAAAAGUAAAGCCUUUGCAUGAACUUCUGAAAUGUCAGAUCUGUCAAGUAGAAGAUGAUAGAUGCAAUGCAAGCUUUGCUCUUGGUCUUACUAAAGAGUUUUUCACCAUUGAAUACAUUCUAAUUGUUUCUGCUGUCUCUAUGUUUCUAGAUUUUUGUUUUUAUUUUUAUUUUUUUAAACCCAGUACCAAAAGCACCUUUCCAGUCACAUUCCAUUAACACACAGAUUAAAAACCUUUGUUUCCACUUAGCAAGGCCAUGAAUUCUGGAGUCUUCAAGAGGUUCUCCUGUGCAACUGGUCCUACUCAUUUCACAGAAUGAGGGGGACCAGUGAGGUCAUUUCUCAUGUAUAAGAUAGGGAAGUGGGCACAUGCAGUGUAGUGUUUUGCCUCAGCAAAACAAUAGCUUGCUCUGUCCAAUAGGUAAAUAAUGCUCACAAUAAGUGAGAGAAUCUUCCUCUUUCAGUGUGACCACAGGAAUCUGAAGAUGGAUAUUCACAUUUCUACUCAUUCUGCACAUGUGACCACAAAGCAUAGUGAUCAGGCCUUUGCCUUAUACAAACAUUAUAAAAAAUAAUAAUAUUGCUUAUUUAACAAUGUUGAAACAUUAUCCUUGACUCCUGCCAUUAGAGCAUUUAAAAAUGAAAAAUGCUUUUGCAGUCUAAAAGUAGGAUCUAAAGAUCUUCUUAUACUUUUAAGGUUAAUCUGGAAAGGGUCUAAACCAGAAAUCUCAGUGGAGAACAAGGAAAGCUGUUCAAUAAAAGGCUCUGUAUUUUAGAUCACUGCUCUGCUUCCACUAGUAACUCUAAUGGAAAUGAAUUGAUCCUCCUGGAAGGACGUGUGUCUAUUAUUAACACAGUUACUUGUAUGUUUCUUUUUUCUCUGCUUUCAGAGGCAAAAGAUUAGAGGUCAUAAGAGGUCAUAGUACUUCUUCAUGUGGUGGUAUUUUCUUCUCCAUUUCUCCUGGGAAGAAUAACAAGCAAUUUUAACAAACCCUGCAGCUUCACAAUAUCUUAGAUUGCCUAACAUCUUAAUUGCUUUUGGUGAUGUUCAUGAGAGAGAAAGAGGAUGAAAUUCAAUCCAAAAUCCCAUUGAGUAUCAACAGAUGCAAGAAUCUGAACAGGAUGCAGGCUGCAGUUGGGCUCUGCCAGGACUCUAAGCCAAACACCCUGACUUGAAGAGUUCAUAAUCAGUCAAGAUCUGCAUCAAAAAUGUGCAGCUCAGAUCCACUUUUGGUUUGAAAUAGGCCAGGCCAUGUGCCAGAGGAUACAUACCUAAUUACCAGGCUGUUCUGAUUAUUACUUCUUCUGUACUUUUCCCAGUAAAUUUAGAAUAAAUUGUAUCUUUGGCAAAUUACACAAAGAGAUGAUUAUACAUUUAAUUGAAUGUUUACCUCUCAUUUUCUUCUUGUAAUGGUAACUGGUACAGAUUACAGGAAUUCAGAAUAAUUUUUCUAUAUAUCUACAUUUUCCCAGGGUUAGAUUCAGUGGAAAAAAAAGCAAAAACAACAACCACAACAAACAAACAAACAAACAACAAAAAAAACCCACCAAAACAAAACAGUAAGGGGUCUGGUUAGGGAAUAUUUAUACCAUAUUCAGCUCAUUUUCUUCCUUUAAUAUGAAAAUGAAUAGUAUCAAGGGAUAGUGUGUUGCCUAUUUGCAGUCCAUUGGAAAAUGCAUAUUAGACAGGGGAAAUACAUAAUUUAUUAAAUGUAUUGCUUAAGGUGAGAAACUUGAAAUUGAGUUUUGUAAGUCUGUGGAUUUUGGGUUAUAUGUUUGGCACAGGCUACUCAAUCUGCUAAAUUAUUCAGCACUAAACCUGCCAGUGGGAAUAACAAGAAAAUAGACAUGGAGUUUGAAAUGUAGUUUCAUUUUAUUGGAGAGGGGAAAAAAAAAAAAAAAAAAAAAAAAGGGUUACAAGUGAAGUAGCAACACUCAGAAAAGCUUUAUUCCCUCCUCAUUAAAGAACUGUUGACGUAUGACUGUAGCUUUUCCUAUUAAAGGAGUAUUUCUAUGCAUUCACUGGGAGUGGUGCUUCAACAAGAAUGUGUGUUAUACAUUAAAUGGCCACAAAUAUCAUUUACUUCCUAUUGUCAUCAUUUUAUUUCCAAAUAACCAAAAUGUUCAGGUGUGCGAUACAAGAAAAGAACCGAAGGCAUUCAAAGUACUGAUUUCUCUCAGAUGUUUGAGAUCAUCUUAAUAGGAAAACUCAUCUCUUAGGAUUACUCCUUCCCUACAAAAUCAGUUUGUAAUGUUAGGAAAGUACUUUGAUUUCCUUCAGAUUAUUCAAGAGCUGUACAAAUAGUAGUAAUUUUCUUUCUCAGGUUUUAGUGUAGUUAGAAGAAACAAGCCAAAUCUGUUCUUUUUGUUUGUUUGUUUGUUAUUCAAGCAUCAGGUUACCUAUUGUCUGGAAGAUUUCUUAAAUGUAUAAAGGAAAAUAUUUUUCCCUUCAGCCACCACAAAGAAACAACUGUUUCAAAAACUGAAAUAAAAACCAUUAUUUUGUCAAGUUCUACUUUUUUCAUCAUUAACAGGGAGCAUCUCCCCUUGAAAACAGCAGGCUUUUUCUCCUUAUCAUAUGAUUAAGAUAUCUUCAGUUAGGAAGAAUCAAAGAAACUAAGAGCACAGUCUAUCUUACUUAUGCUGAGUUUCAACAUUUCUCUGUUGGAAACAAUCUGUUAGCCUGGGGCAAAUAAGAAAUAUCUGAAUCUGAAAGCUUUUCUCUCCUGCCCAUCCCAUCUUCCCCUCACUCUACAAUAGACUGCCCACAAAUCUCACAAACCUUGACCACCACUUCAAAAACUAUCAAGAAGAAGACCUCUGUUUCUGCAGUUACUCAGCUAAGUAUAGUCUCCAAAAACUGGGAAAAUAAAAGUAGCAAAACACCAAGUCUAAUGAAUAAAAAGAAUAAUGGAAAAAUUCACAGAUCCUUUGAAGUAUGAGGAAUGUUCCUCAAUGAUCAGGGUCUGUCAUGAUCAGAAUUCUCCACUUGGAAGUGCAGGCAGAAUGGUGCUCCAAAACAACACUGCACUAAAGUACAGGGCAGAACAAGUAAAAAUUUUACUAAAACAAACAAAACACUGAAGCACAGUGAAAGAGCCAUCAUGGUGGAUUUGCAUGUGGACACUGAAAGUGAACACAACAAAUGUUUCCAAAUGUAGGAUCUGUUGUGCGACCAGCAUCUAACGUGGUGACAGGGAUAGUCAAGAAAGGGAAUAUAGUAUGCUGCUGAAUUUUAAAUCUGCCCAUUUCAUCAUUAGAAAGCUUUUCUUAUCCUUGGAUAAAACUGAAUGUCUUCUCAGAUGUCUAUGUAAGAUAGUGUCAAUAUGCUCAUUCAAUCAGCACAAAGUAAAAACUGAUUUCAGAAUGGUCACUUCCUUAAACCACAGGAAAUAAUUGAUUUGCACAAUGAGAUGGAUUUUUUUUUCUUUUACUUUUGUAUGUGUAUGCUUUCUCUGAACCACCUUUUUGACAUUUUGUUUAAUAUUUCAUAAAUUCUUUCAGCAAUUUGUUGAUAUAGAGCACAGUAACAGCAAUCAAUAAGACGCUGCUUAUUUUAUUUGUUUUUUGUCUGAUUAAUUCUUAUAACAAAAGGAAAGUUGUCAGGCCUGGAAAAUGCACAUUUACAGAUUAAAAAGGCUGUGGAAAACUUCUAGAUUUGUCCAAGGUAAGAGAUUCUAUCUAGUGAGGAGGAGAAAGAAAGACAAACACAGAACAAUUUAAGACUAGCAUCUAAACAUCAGUUUAGUCAACAGGUUUAUCUUAUUUGGAAUAAAAUAUUCUGCUCUCUUAAUACAAGCAAAUAGAAGCCAGCAUUUGUCAUAUUCAGCUUCUGAAGGCUCCUUUUGUUCAGGAGUAUAAAACAAAUACUUAACUUGAUGACCACAGGUCAGAAUUAUGAAACAACAAACACAAAUUGGAUUUAUUUAUUUAUUUAUUUAUUUAUUCCUCAGGAGGACUUGAGAAACAUCCCAAAGCUGACUAGUAACUCUGUUCUCUCUCUCUGACUCUUCUCCUGUCUGCAAAGGGCUCUAAAACAUUUGUCAGAUGCAAAUAAAAAACGGGUAGGGAAGGUGUGGCUAUCUAGAGGAAAAUGGAUAUCUAACACUUUAAAGGAAACAAAGGGGGAGUUGGAGAAGCAUAAAUUAUGAGCCACUGAAUUCAUCUGGAGCCUUUCUUUGGAUGAGAACCAUCACCAUGAUGAUGAUGAAAUGUAGAGUUCUCAUCUCUUGCAGAAACUGUUUGUUUGACUUAAAACCCAGCCUCUGUGCUCAAGCCCUUUUCUCCCAGACUGGGCUGAAUUCAGACUGCACUUCAGCUGGGACACCUGAGCUGAAAUUCAACCUAUGCAGCAAACUCUGCUUAUUGAGGCAGAUACUCCACUUAAAAUUCAAGCAUCAUGUGGAUGGACUCUGUCCAACUCUCAUUUGAAUCCAACUGACUGGAAUCAAAUUCAUCCAUCUACUCCUACAGCUCUGUGGCAGUCUGGCAACACUUGUGAACUCAGGGGAUCAUUUUAAACAUACUUGGCUCAGGUACACAUGGUUACAAAAGAGACUAGACAGAGUAGUGUGAUCUACCCAGCAUGAUCAUUUUAAGGUAGAGUCAGACUUGUAAAGCUUUACUUUCCCAUAUGUAGCCCUCCUGCUAUGUGCAGCAGUAAGAGCAGGGACUGAGCAGCAGACAACAGCUUGCAUUUGUCACAGGAAUUUAUCCAGUGUGUUUCCUGUUCUGUAGAAGAUGAAAUAAUUCACUUGGACUUCCCUGUCUGUUUCAUGACACUACAAAAGGCAGAAUUGAUAUGGAAACAGGGUGCUUAUGUGCAAAAUGGAAUCAGAGUUGUGUACUUCCACAGUCUUUUCCAAAUACAAGAGAUUGGUGUUGUGUUUUGUUUUGUUUUGCUUAAUUAAGAAAUAAAG
Molecule: long non-coding RNA, 5660 nt
Organism: Coturnix japonica (Japanese quail)
Lineage: Eukaryota; Metazoa; Chordata; Aves; Galliformes; Phasianidae
Source: RefSeq, a predicted model, not a curated record